GGCCAGACCCUCAGCGUAUGGGGGCUCCCAGGCUAGGGGUCAAAUCGGAGCUACAGCUGCCAGCCUACACCACAGCCACAGCAACACCAGAUCUGAGCCGCAUCUGCGACCUACACCACAGCUCACGGCAACGCCGGAUCCUUAACCCACUGAGCAAGGCCAGGGAUUGAACCUGCGUCCUCAUGGAUACUAGUUGGAAUUUAGAUAAACACCCCAAAUUGUGGGACCUCAGGGCUGAAAGGACCUGGAGGUCAACUCAGUCAAACCUCACUCCUAGGUAAGCCUCCUAAGAUGCUUAUCUCUUCCACAGGUACUACUUGUUUCUGUCAAAGCAUAAUUUUCAAAAAGCUAAAAACAUAACUCUUACACAAACAUAUAGUAAACCUAUAUUAAGGAUUAAGUCCCUAAUGAGAGAAUCAGCAGGAUGGCAAAGCUGGUUCAAAGGUAAUGAAAGAAACAUAUAUUAAGUCAGUGAUGAAAAAAAAGGCUUAAUAAUCUUGCAAAAUUAGAUACAAAACUGGUUAAUAUCCUACAGAGCAAUUAAACUAUAAUCUUUGAGCUUAUCUUUUCUUCUAAACAGAAAUCAUUUAGAUCCCUACUAGACAAAAACUUUUUUUUUUUUUUUUGUCUUUUUGUCCUUUUAGGGCCACACCUGAGGCAUAUGGAGGCUCCCAGGCUAGCAGUCUAAUCAGAGCUGUUGCUGCCGCCCUACACCACAGCCACAGCAACGCCAGAUACAAGCCGUGUCUGCAACCUACACCACAGCUCAUGGCAAUGCCAGAUCUUUAACCCACUGAGUGACGCCAGGGACCGAACCUGCAACCUCACGGUUCCUAGUCAGAUUCGUUUCCACUGCACCACGAUGGGAACUCCAACAAAAACCAUUUGUGACAUCAAUUUUUUGAAAGUUGAAAUCUAACUUUAUGAAUGUAAGUCUCUAAGGCUGUCACCUGCCCUUGGUGGCUUGCUGAAAGAUGCACUGGAAGGUGCACAAUAAUCAUUUUGCCUUUUCUCUGAGUUUUAGGAAAUUUUCCUAAAAUACUUUUAAAACGGCUCAACGUAGCUUAUUAUACAUUUCCAGCGAGCUGGCUGAUAAGUUCUUUCCUCUCUGGUCCAUUUUUUGCUUCUGCCUCAUCUACACCCUCCUAAUUGGUAAAAAAUCUUUUGAACAGUUGAAGUCACUUGUAAAUUACUGCUUAGUUUUCCAAGGUCACGUCGUCCUGAAGUGCGGGGGCCCUGUUUUCCAGACUCUCCAGCCUUCUGUGCCCUGCUGAAUUCUCUCCAACUCUCACACGUGCGGGUCUCUUAAAGACAAAAAGGGAGCAUCUGAUUCAUCGGCGCUGAUUCACGGGGCUGCUCCCCCAGGCCCCGGCUAUUCUGAGGCAGUUACCAUAAUUCACUAUAAUUUCCCAACUCCACACCCCCACCCCGUCACCUCUUUCUUUCCACAUAACAGUGCUCAGAAGUCACAAACCAAACCCACGACAGAGCAGCACAUAACCAGCACAACAACCAACCCACACCAGCCAGCACAAUAAUAUGAAGUCAAAGAAGGAGCUUAAUGAAUCAGAGAGGGCCCUGUCCACAUCUGCAUUUCCCAGCGAGGCAAGGGAAUGAGAAGGGAGAAACGCACAGAUUGAGUCAGUCCAUGUUCUAAAUAACGGGAAGGAUGAAUGGGUUCCAAAGGCUCUGGCUUCUAAGAGUCUUUCCUGGGCCAAGGGAAUUUCUGGGGACUGGUCCAGGGGGAGCCUUUGGAGAUGGAGACAGUCUUGCUCCAUUUGGGCUGUGAUGUGACAGAAGGGGUGGCGUAUAAACCACUCCUUUCUCGCAGUCCUGGAGGCUGGAAAUCAGCGCGGCAGUGUGGUCAGGCCCCCUUCCGGGUCACAGCCUUCUCACUGGGACCUCGUGUGGCGGAAAGAACUAGGGGAUCUGUGGGGUCUCUCAAGAGAGCACCCACCCCACUCAUGAGGGCGCCACCUGAGGACCCAGCCACCCAGAGGCCCCACCUCCUCCCUCGGCAGCAAGCUGGGAUUACAGCGUGUGGAUGGGCGGGGACCCCAGCAGAGCCCGAAUGGAUGAACACCGGGGGAACCUCAAGCGUCUCCUGGCAAGGCGGGAGCGACGGUGGGUUACAGACGCGCACACGUAACAGCAAACCACACGGGUCUCAAGGAAACCAUGCUGCCCCCAGAGCCAGCAGCUGUCCCCGCGUUCUGAACCCCUAAGGUCUGGAGCUGAGGCACCAAUCCCGACCACACGAGCCCUUCCCAACCUACAAGCAGGAAGAGGGAAAACCUCUAUUUAACAUGUGUUCUGACAGCAGAGAAGAUGACAAAGAAAUUGCAUGAAUUUAUGCCUAAGAAAGUUGUCAUUUGAGGAGUUCCCAUUGGGACUCAGUGGUUAACACAUCUGACUAGCAUCCAUGAGGACG
RNAcentral lists this long non-coding RNA (2431 nucleotides) under Sus scrofa (pig). RNAcentral describes it as "lncRNA (ENSSSCG00065061271.1)". Lineage: Eukaryota; Metazoa; Chordata; Mammalia; Artiodactyla; Suidae. The record is from RNAcentral.